RNAcentral lists this long non-coding RNA (451 nucleotides) under Ananas comosus (pineapple). Its description in RNAcentral is "long non-coding RNA (ACOM_LNC025697)". Lineage: Eukaryota; Viridiplantae; Streptophyta; Magnoliopsida; Poales; Bromeliaceae. The record is from RNAcentral.
GGGGAGAAUUAGGGUGUGGGGGGAGAUGUGGAGUUUUUGUAUACUUUGUGGAUUGAGCGGUAAUGGAUGGGUUAAUGGACGAUUGUGAUUUAUUUGGAUCAAGCAUUAACAAAUAUAUUCCUAUAUAGUUUAACUUUUAUAUAUUGUUCCUACAAAAUUUCAGAUAUUUUCAAAUAUAUCCUUUUCGUUAAAAUUCGUUAAAAAAUUUUAGUUAAUUAUAAAUUAAAUACUUAAUUUUGAUUAAUUUUUGAUAUUUUUAUCCCUCAUAUAUUAUACUGUUAUGGCUUUUGAAUGAAUAUAUAUUUAUGAUGGCAAAAUUGAAAAUAUAAAUAGCUCUCUAAUAGUCCUCUAACAGUUACAAACCAUGGUAACAUAUUCAAAAAUAUUAAAACUUUUACAUGGGCUUGUAUGAAAUUAACCCUUAUAAUUAUAUACAGCAGAUCUAAACUUU